CGCCUCCACGCCACGCCUGCUCGCCGAAGCCGCGUCCGAGGCUCCGGCUGCCGCCACCGCCUCUGCCCCGGCUAUAAAGGCGCGCCCUUUGGCCGCCCCGCUCCUCCUCCUCCUCUCUUCGUCCGCGCCGCGCCACUCGCCUCCUCGCCGCGCUCUGGCCGGCCCGCUCCUCCUCCUCCUCCUCUCUUCGCCCGGGCCGCGCCUCUCGCCUCCUCGCCGCGCUCGGGCCGGUCUGCUGCUCCUCCACUCUUCGUCCGGGCCGUGCCGUUCUCCUCCCCGCCGCGCUCUGGCUGGUUUGCUGCUCCUCCUCCUCCUCCCCCUCUCCUCAUCCGGGCCGUGCCUCUGUCCUCCUCGAGUCGCUCGUCCUCCAUCGAUUCGUCCGUUUAGAACCGCGUCUGGAUUUGGUUUUGCUCGCCCUCGCCGUCGCCGGUUUAGAUAGAAGAAUCCCGCCUGGUCUGAUUUUGCUCCUUCUUGCUGUCGUCCGUUUAGAAUCGCGUCUGGAUUUGAUUUUGCUCGUCCUCGCCGUCGCCGGUUUAGAUAGAACGCCGCCUGGUUUGAUUUUGCUCGUUCUCGCCGCCGUUCGUCCGUUUAGAGUCGCGUCUGAUUUGAUUUCGCUCGUGCUCGGUUCGUCGGUUCAGAAUCGCUUCCGAGUUGAUUUUGCUCGUCCCCGCCGUUCGUCAGUUUAGAGUCGCUUCCCCUGAUUUGGUUCUGCUCGUCCUGGCCGUCGUCCGUUUUUCCUCGCCCCCGUCGUCGCCCCGAUGCGCUCGCGUGUUCUUGGUCCGUCUCGUCGAGGGUCUCCGUCUGGUUUGUGAUUGAGAAAUUUCUGCGUGCGCUUCUUCUGUUGUCUGAGAGACACUUUGGAUCCUGCGUUUCUUGUUCGUGUCAGCGCGAGUGUUACAGGAACGGCCGAGUCUUGGUUUUGAAAUUGGGUUACGGCCGGAGAUGAGGAAACGGAGAGCAACUGUCAGUUUGUCGUGCUAGUUCAGAUCUCAAACGACUAGCUUGUUCGUGUUCGUCCGUCAGAGACGUGCUCUUUGAUACUCUGGUUCCUCUGUCGAUUCUGAAUGUACCGGCUAGCUUGUUUCCCUUUGGGCAGGCGUGUGUGCUCUCAUCCUAGAUGCAGGGGUGAUUCUUUACGGUUCUUCUUAUGGGUGUUACACUGUUACUGCUUCUGUUCUUUUCAAUUGGUUAUUACUUCCUAUCAAUGCUUUGCUUCUGUUCCCAUAUAUUGCUAGGCCGUGGGUGCCAUUUCUUGCAGGCAGGCAGAGCAGAAAAGUUUUAAAAGAUUGCAAACCAUGUGGCAUGCUGCCUGACUAAUUGAACACCUGUUGCUGCUACUGUUGGACAAGGUUUCCUUCUGUUAUUCCUCGUGUUGCUAUUUCCAUUUUCAUACGAGUACUAUAUGAGGUGCUGGUAGUUAGUUCCCCUUAGACUUCGUUCUAGAUUGCAUAGCAUAACUGCAGAAAUUUUUCGUUGCACACCUGGGCAUAUAAUUCCACUGUGAGCAUAACUUCAGAAUUUAUUUAUCUGUGAAAGCACUUUCGUCACAUGUUUUUUAUCAAUGCUGCUCACUUUUGUCACGCCCCUUUUGUUUGUCCUGUUAAAUUUGAUGGAGCAAAUUUUGUACUCACUGGUUAAAAUGUCGAGAAUGCUGACUUCUGUAUUUGUCGCUAUGUUUGUUUAUAACCUGGUUGUGAUCUAAUAUAGUGUAAAUCUGCUAAUUUUCUUAGUUUGAUUUAUGUUCAACGCAAGUAACAUUUAUUUAGCCAAAUUUUGCUACUUCUGAGAACUUUGUUUUUAGAUGUGUUGUAUCCAUAAUUGCCUAUUCUGAUAUUUGCAUUGAUCUUUCUAUAUAAAGUCAUUGGCAUGUCAUGUUGUGACCUAUAUACCUCUGUGGUUGGCAGUAUCUUUGCCCUUUGAUUCUGCUCAUCCUCGCUGUCGUCAGUUUAGAGUCGCGUCUGAUUUGAUUUUGAUCUCCUCGUCGUCGUCCGUUUAGAAUCUCGUCUGAUUAGAUUUUAUCGUCCCGUCUGAUUAGAUUUUAUCGUCCUCGCUGUCGCCCUGAUGCGCUCGCAUGUUCUUGGGUCGUCUCGUCGAGGGUAUCCGUCUGGUUUGCGAACUAAAAUUUCUCUUUGAGAAAUUUCUGCGUCCAUUUCUGUUAUCUGAGAGACAUUCCAGAUCCUGUGUUUUCUGUUCGCGUCGGCGUGACGGUUGUAAGAACGAUCAGGUCUAGUUUCGUAAUUGGAUUACAUACGGAGACGGGGACCAAUGUCAGUUUGCCGUGCUAGUUCAGAUUGGUUUCACUUUCUGGAACUUCUUUAUAGCUUUCUGAGUUUAAUACUUGGAUCUUGCAUGUAUUAGCUUUCUGUUUGUACCCCUAUCUAUGUCUGACUGUGUGUGUGUGUGAUGUGCUCCUAUCUAUGUAUGUUUCUUUGUCUGUUUCAUGUGUGCAAGCGUUCCAUUGUCUGUGUGUGACUGUGUGUGUGAUGUGCCCCAAUCUAUGUAUGUUUCUUUGUCUGUUUUAUGUGUGCAAGCGCUCCAUUGCCUGUGUGUGACUGUGUGUUUGACUGCUUAGAUGGGGUGAUUCUGAUUGUGUUACUGCUUAUAUGGUCUGUCCAAUUGGUUCCUUCUUCAUGCUUUGCUUGUGUUCCAAUGUCGUCUCCCCAUAUAUGGGGAUGUGUUCAGGGAUGCAAACCAUGUAGGCCAUUUCGAGCAGGCAGGGAUCCAGAGACGUGCAUUGGUCAGGCUUCUCUCCUACUGAUAGAUGAUAAUAGGCUGAGCAGGAAAAAUUGACUCUUGUAACACUCACUUGCUUGGCUUCCACUCCUUUGCGUGGCCGAUUUGGCAUCCAAUGCAUCCCAUGCCUAUCUUAUUUCUCACUCACUCAUCACAGCACCCAUUUCCCUGUUUUUGUUCCUUAUUUUCCUUGUCAUAAUAGUCAUGUUUACCAUGGUGUUUGACAAUGCAUUAUUUGUCAUAUCUGUAUUUCGUUAUGUCUUAUGUGGAUAUCAUAUACUUUUUUUUGUAUUACUGCUGUUCAGUCCACUGGAAUAAUGCUUUUCUAAGUAUUUCAGGUAGGAUAUAGACAAAUGUCACAUUUGCUCUUCCUUUUGUUGCUAAGGACACUGAUUGGUUGGGUUUGCUUACAGCGCAGGACAGAUAAUUCUAUAAAGAAUCAUUGGAAUAUUUCUUUGAGAAAGAAGUUAGAUGUCUGGCACCAGAAAUAUUUUGGCAAUUCGAAGACUUCAUGAUGACUUCAAGAAUAAACAGAAGACGGCUUCUUCUGAGGGCCAUCUUGAUCUGAACAGCUCAUCAUUCUAAUUUUAGCUCACCUCUACAGUCAUACAAACUGGCAUGCCGAGGACUGCUCAGGGUUCCUAUCGCUUUCUGUUUUACCAACUAAGGGGUGUAUGGAGGUUUUCAUGAUGGCUAAUUUGAUUAAUUAUUAUGGUUGUUCUGAUGGUGUGCUUCUGCUGUUUGAACUGAAGUUGUGUAUCGCCCAUCAACCUGGUCUGUGUUUGUAUGCUGAAUUAUUUCCGGAUAGGACAGAGGUGCAAUGUUUACAUCCAUGGCAGAAGGUUCUUUAACACCGAACUCAUCAAAGGUCCUUGGGCUCAAAAGGAAGAUAACAAAAUUAUUGACCUUGUUAACAAGUAUGGACCAACAAAAAUGAUCUCAUUGCAAGUGGACGUAUAGGCAAGCCAUGUCGGGAGAGGUCAGCUACUAGAACUUCCUGCUACUGAUCCUGGGAUGUUCCAAACAUGCUCCGGAACAUGUUCAAUUUAUCCACCCUAGGACAGCCACUGCCAUGACACAACAGGUAUGCUUGAUUUUUAGGCUACUUGGCAUGCUCAGCGUGUUUACGUCGGUGGACUUCCUCCAAUCGCUAAUGAACAGAUGGUUGCUCUAUUCUUCAAUCAAGUUAUGGCUGCUAUCGGGGGAAACGCAUUUGGUCUAGGUGAUGCAGUUGUUAAUAUGAAGCUGAUUUUUGAAUUCAUACAAAAACAUCUUAGGUGGCUUAAUCAUCUGAUUGUGUGUGUGUGUGACUGACUGACUGUGUGUCUCUGUGGCUGUGUGUCUGUGGCUGUGUGUGUGUGUGACUGACUGUGUGUUCUAUGUCUUGUGUGUGUGACUGACUGUUACUGUGUCGUGUGUGUGUGACUGUGACUGUGUGUGUUGGCUGACUUUGUGUGUUGGCUGACUGUGUGUGACUGACUCUGUGUGUUGGCUGACCCUGUGUGUGACUGUGUGUUUGUUUGUUUGUUUGUUUGUUUGUUUGUUUGCUUCAUGGUCUGUCUUGUAUGCUUUGCGUGUCUUGUAUGCUUUGCGUGUCUUGUAUGCUUUGCUGAAUGAUUGCUGUUGUAUGAUUGGUGUUUUGUUUGUU
This is a long non-coding RNA of Triticum aestivum (bread wheat), 4381 nucleotides long. RefSeq lists it as uncharacterized. The transcript is spliced from 8 exons. The record is from RefSeq and is a predicted model, not a curated record. NCBI's taxonomy places the organism in Eukaryota, Viridiplantae, Streptophyta, Magnoliopsida, Poales, Poaceae.